UUACGGACAUAUCACGUUGAGACACCAGUUACCGUACGUUCACCGAAGUUAAGCAAUGUUAAGCUUGGUCAGUACGUAGAUGGUUGAUCGCUUGUGAAUACCAGGUACCGUAAG
Molecule: non-coding RNA, 114 nt
Organism: Acanthosepion pharaonis
Lineage: Eukaryota; Metazoa; Mollusca; Cephalopoda; Sepiida; Sepiidae
Source: the annotation of a GenBank genome assembly